AAACUAAGGGACAAAGGGAGGGGGGGGAUGACCUCUCUGAUCCCUACAGCCUCCAAUUCUGUGACGCAACUUCCAUCACUGCAGGGAGUGGGGUUCUGCCAACAUACCUCCAUCUUGAUCCCUCAGAAAAAAAACUGCCACAAGGAGACAUUUAUUUGCAAGGUUCACAGAGGAAUGAAUUUCAUCUUAUCUAUAUGGUACGGUGUUCCUCAGAGCCUGAUUCUUGAUGACAAUAAAAUGUUAUCGAAUGAACAUAUAUAUGGCAGGAAAUGUUUCUAUUGGCAAAAUUCACCACAAGAAAAACAUGUACAAAAGAGACGUACACUUGGGGAGCAACCAAAAAUGACAUCACAAUGAACAUUAUUUAUGUCGAUACAGACGUCUCCUUUGGUUUCAAAGGAUUUUGAAAUGGAUCUUUCAUUCAUCAUUUACUCAGUCCAUAUCUAAAGCAGUGCGGCUUAUUUCAAAGAAGAAAGGACUGAGAGUCAGGAGACCUGAGUUCUAAUCCCAGGUCCACAACUUGCCAGUAAUGUGACCUCAGUUAAUAAAGUUUUCUCUGGGCUUCAAUUUCUCCAUCUACAAAAUGGGAUUAUUAUUAUUAAUGACAGUAAUAAUAAUAGUUCUAAUUGUAAGUGCUUACUACACAUCAACUGUGUAUACACAUUGCCU
RNAcentral lists this long non-coding RNA (669 nucleotides) under Ornithorhynchus anatinus (platypus). RNAcentral's name for it is "lncRNA (ENSOANG00000033913.2)". Lineage: Eukaryota; Metazoa; Chordata; Mammalia; Monotremata; Ornithorhynchidae. The record is from RNAcentral.